RNAcentral lists this small nuclear RNA (165 nucleotides) under Petromyzon marinus (sea lamprey). RNAcentral describes it as "U1 spliceosomal RNA (ENSPMAG00000012648.1)". It matches the Rfam family "U1 spliceosomal RNA". From Rfam's summary of the family: U1 is a small nuclear RNA (snRNA) component of the spliceosome (involved in pre-mRNA splicing). Its 5' end forms complementary base pairs with the 5' splice junction, thus defining the 5' donor site of an intron. There are significant differences in sequence and secondary structure between metazoan and yeast U1 snRNAs, the latter being much longer (568 nucleotides as compared to 164 nucleotides in human). The record is from RNAcentral. Lineage: Eukaryota; Metazoa; Chordata; Hyperoartia; Petromyzontiformes; Petromyzontidae.
AUACUUACCUGACAGGGGAGGCACCAUGAUCAUUUAGGUGGUCCUCCCAGGGUGAGGCUCAUCCAUUGCACUGCGGGUGGGUUGACCCCUGCGAUUUCCCCAAAUGCGAGAAACUCGACUGUAUAAUUUGUGAAUCUGGGGGACUGCGUUUUGCGCUAUCCCCCG